UCCGUAGGCGGGCAAUUAAGUCAGAGGUGAAAUCCCACAGCUCAACUGUGGAACUGCCUUUGAUACUGGUUGUCUUGAGUUACAGUGAAGUAGAUAGAAUAUGUAGUGUAGCGGUGAAAUGCAUAGAUAUUACAUAGAAUACCGAUUGCGAAGCCAGUCUACUAACUGUAUACUGACGCUAAUGGACGAAAGCGUGGGGAGCGAACAGGAUUAGAUACCCUGGUAGUCC
This 229-nucleotide ribosomal RNA is filed under the name uncultured bacterium. RNAcentral describes it as "partial 16S ribosomal RNA". It matches the Rfam family "Bacterial small subunit ribosomal RNA", at positions 568 to 796 of the family's 1533-position model. The record is from RNAcentral.